Zophobas morio is the source of this 830-nucleotide long non-coding RNA. RefSeq lists it as uncharacterized. The transcript is spliced from 3 exons. NCBI's taxonomy places the organism in Eukaryota, Metazoa, Arthropoda, Insecta, Coleoptera, Tenebrionidae. The record is from RefSeq and is a predicted model, not a curated record.
AAAAACCGCCGCAGACGUCUAUAGACUUGUCAAUUAAGUUAGAUAACAAGUCCAUUGUAUCUUGAAGGUAUUGAGUGGGCUAAGAAGUUCACACAAUGGGAAGUCUUACGAACCACACUCGAUACAUUCUGCUUCACUCCGAUGGAAUCAACUAACAACAAGCCGCAAGAAAUAACUUCCAAAACCGCCUUCAGAGAAAAUCCUCCAUGCAACGCGAAAGCAGGACAACAAAAGCCACAACACAACUAAUCCCGCAUUUGGGGGAAUCAACGCCGCCACCAUGCACCGUCCCACGCAACGGAACCUAUUAUGUGCUGCAACAAUUACCCCAAGUUGACCUGUUCUUAGUUAAGGUUCGCAGACUGGUCGUGACCUGUGGGAGCGAUAUCAUUACCAGGAAUGACCGCGAAGAGAGCAAACGUCCUGUCACGUGGCGGUUGUGUGGAGGGCUCUCCCGAAAUGCCCCAAACGCGAUCGAUCCGACGCAAUUUCAGGCAAAAAGCGACUUAUCUGCAUCGGAUGCAUGCAAAGGGGUUGCCGGGAAAUGGAGUUUAAAAGUUACAUACACCCGACAAGAUCUAAUAACGUUCGAAAAAACUCGAAGACGAAAAUAUAGUUUUCCAAUUUUGCUUUAAGUGCACCCGAAGGAGAGGGAACGGCGCUCCUCAAUCCAAAAUAUUCCAACGUUUCGAAGGAAAAUAGCGGAACGAGGUUAGGGAAGGUCUUCACGGAUCCCGACAUGGAUGAAAUUAUUUUUCGAGGUGGCAACGAAGGGCUCGAACUUGCCGGAAACCGAGGAUAAUAUAGCGACUUUGAUUUUUCUGCGUGUC